UGAGGAAUAUUGGUCAAUGGGCGGAAGCCUGAACCAGCCAAGUCGCGUGAGGGAAGACGGUCCUAUGGAUUGUAAACCUCUUUUGCCAGGGAGCAAAGCCGGGCUCGCGAGCCCGGAAGGAGAGUACCCGGAGAAAAAGCAUCGGCUAACUCCGUGCCAGCAGCCGCGGUAAUACGGAGGAUGCGAGCGUUAUCCGGAUUUAUUGGGUUUAAAGGGUGCGUAGGCGGGAUCUUAAGUCAGCGGUAAAAAUGCGGGGCUCAACCCCGUAGUGCCGUUGAAACUGAGAUUCUUGAGUGGGCGAGAAGUAUGCGGAAUGCGUGGUGUAGCGGUGAAAUGCAUAGAUAUCACGCAGAACUCCGAUUGCGAAGGCAGCAUACCGGCGCCCAACUGACGCUGAGGCACGAAAGCGUGGGGAUCGAACAGG
RNAcentral lists this ribosomal RNA (424 nucleotides) under uncultured bacterium. RNAcentral's name for it is "bacterial SSU rRNA". It matches the Rfam family "Bacterial small subunit ribosomal RNA", at positions 355 to 776 of the family's 1533-position model. The record is from RNAcentral.